CAGCUGACGAGUCCCAAAUAGGACGAAACGCGCGUCCUGGAU
Schistosoma curassoni is the source of this 42-nucleotide non-coding RNA. Lineage: Eukaryota; Metazoa; Platyhelminthes; Trematoda; Strigeidida; Schistosomatidae. The record is from Rfam.